GACGAACGCUGGCGGCGUGCUUAACACAUGCAAGUCGAACGAAGUGGCGAACGGGUGAGUAACGCGUAAUCAACCUGCCCUUCAGAGGGGGACAACAGUUGGAAACGACUGCUAAUACCGCAUACGGAAGGAGUGGAUUGCGUGUGAUUAGCUAGUUGGAGGGGUAACGGCCCACCAAGGCGAUGGUCAGUCGGCGGGUCGAGAGGAUGAACGGGCACAUUGGGACUGGGACAACGGCCAGACCUCUAAGGGGAGCAGCAGGGGGGAAUCUUCCGAAAUUGACGAAAGGCUGAAUGAGCAACGGCGCGGGAGUUGUGACGGCCUUCGGGUUGUAAAGCUCUGUUAAGCGGGACGCGGUACCGGAAUAGAAAGCCACGGCUAACUACGUGCCAGCAGCCGCGGUAAUUC
This 408-nucleotide ribosomal RNA is filed under the name uncultured bacterium. RNAcentral describes it as "partial 16S ribosomal RNA". It matches the Rfam family "Bacterial small subunit ribosomal RNA", at positions 28 to 526 of the family's 1533-position model. The record is from RNAcentral.